GACGAACGCUGGCGGCGUGCUUAACACAUGCAAGUCGAACGGAAAGGCCCUGCUUUUGUGGGGUGCUCGAGUGGCGAACGGGUGAGUAACACGUGAGUAACCUGCCCUUGACUUUGGGAUAACUUCAGGAAACUGGGGCUAAUACCGGAUAGGAGCUCCUGCUGCAUGGUGGGGGUUGGAAAGUUUCGGCGGUUGGUGAUGGACUCGCGGCUUAUCAGCUUGUUGGUGGGGUAGUGGCUUACCAAGGCUUUGACGGGUAGCCGGCCUGAGAGGGUGACCGGACACAUUGGGACUGAGAUACGGCCCAGACUCCAACGGGAGGCAGGGGUGGGGAGUAUUGCACAAUGGGCGGAAGCCUGAUGCAGCAACGCCGCGUGCGGGAUGACGGCCUUCGGGUUGUAAACCGCUUUCGCCUGUGACGAAGCGUGAGUGACGGUAAUGGGUAAAGAAGCACCGGCUAACUACGUG
This 468-nucleotide ribosomal RNA is filed under the name uncultured bacterium. RNAcentral's name for it is "partial 16S ribosomal RNA". It matches the Rfam family "Bacterial small subunit ribosomal RNA", at positions 28 to 507 of the family's 1533-position model. The record is from RNAcentral.